RNAcentral lists this unclassified non-coding RNA (328 nucleotides) under soil metagenome. RNAcentral's name for it is "partial contains 5.8S ribosomal RNA, internal transcribed spacer 2, and large subunit ribosomal RNA". The stretch from base 1 to 120 matches the Rfam family "5.8S ribosomal RNA", at positions 35 to 154 of the family's 154-position model. The record is from RNAcentral.
GAUGAAGAACGUAGCGAAAUGCGAUAAGUAAUGUGAAUUGCAGAAUUCAGUGAAUCAUCGAAUCUUUGAACGCACAUUGCGCCCCUUGGUAUUCCGAGGGGCAUGCCUGUUCGAGCGUCAUUAUAACCCUCAAGCUCAGCUCGGUGUUGGGGCCUGCUGCACUGGCAGCCCUUAAAAUCAGUGGCGGCGCCAUCUGGCUCUAAGCGUAGUAAUUCUUCUCGCUAUGGAGUCCUGGUGGAUGCUUGCCAUCAACCCCCAAUUUUUCUAUGGUUGACCUCGGAUCAGGUAGGGAUACCCGCUGAACUUAAGCAUAUCAAUAAGCGGAGGA